AGAUGGGAGCUUGCUCCCUGAUGUUAGCGGCGGACGGGUGAGUAACACGUGGGUAACCUGCCUGUAAGACUGGGAUAACUCCGGGAAACCGGGGCUAAUACCGGAUGGUUGUUUGAACCGCAUGGUUCAAACAUAAAAGGUGGCUUCGGCUACCACUUACAGAUGGACCCGCGGCGCAUUAGCUAGUUGGUGAGGUAACGGCUCACCAAGGCAACGAUGCGUAGCCGACCUGAGAGGGUGAUCGGCCACACUGGGACUGAGACACGGCCCAGACUCCUACGGGAGGCAGCAGUAGGGAAUCUUCCGCAAUGGACGAAAGUCUGACGGAGCAACGCCGCGUGAGUGAUGAAGGUUUUCGGAUCGUAAAGCUCUGUUGUUAGGGAAGAACAAGUACCGUUCGAAUAGGGCGGUACCUUGACGGUACCUAACCAGAAAGCCACGGCUAACUACGUGCCAGCAGCCGCGGUAAUACGUAGGUGGCAAGCGUUGUCCGGAAUUAUUGGGCGUAAAGGGCUCGCAGGCGGUUUCUUAAGUCUGAUGUGAAAGCCCCCGGCUCAACCGGGGAGGGUCAUUGGAAACUGGGGAACUUGAGUGCAGAAGAGGAGAGUGGAAUUCCACGUGUAGCGGUGAAAUGCGUAGAGAUGUGGAGGAACACCAGUGGCGAAGGCGACUCUCUGGUCUGUAACUGACGCUGAGGAGCGAAAGCGUGGGGAGCGAACAGGAUUAGAUACCCUGGUAGU
This 740-nucleotide ribosomal RNA is filed under the name Bacillus tequilensis. Its description in RNAcentral is "bacterial SSU rRNA". It matches the Rfam family "Bacterial small subunit ribosomal RNA", at positions 70 to 794 of the family's 1533-position model. RNAcentral also lists the same sequence under 1 other name. Lineage: Bacteria; Bacillati; Bacillota; Bacilli; Caryophanales; Bacillaceae. The record is from RNAcentral.